This 1875-nucleotide long non-coding RNA is filed under the name Mus musculus (house mouse). RNAcentral describes it as "long non-coding RNA chr1:109996793-109998668". The record is from RNAcentral. Lineage: Eukaryota; Metazoa; Chordata; Mammalia; Rodentia; Muridae.
GGUGGUGGUGGUGGUGUGUGUAUUGCAGAGUCAGAAGUGAAGACACAUAUUAAUGAACAUUUAAGUAAGUCUGUAUUUUUCUUGCAUGAUAUAUAUUAGAAGCUGCCCAUGGAAGUGUCCCAAUGAAGAUAGAAAAUGAGUUCAAGAAAUGUGCCCCUAACCACAAUACAAGAAGUAAAUUUGAAAUCUAGUAACUUGAUCCCUUGAUUGAAUGAGUGAUUUAUAUUCCAGGGCAAAAAAAAAAAAAAAAAAAAAUUAGGCCUUGUAGAAGUAAUUUUUUUUUUGUACAGAGGCAAUACAGAACAUCAAUGCCAUAUAUUCUGUACAGAUGAGCAAAAAUUUGAACCUUUGUGGGGUUUAGUGAUCUGAUGUAGCAAAACAAACAAACAAACAAACAAACAAAUAACUUUAACCUCAUUAUACUCCCUAGGUUCUAUAAAAAUUAAAUUAUCUCUUUUUGUUUGCUUAUUUAAGGUAUGUAAUGACUAUGGUCAGAUGUUCUUGUAGGACAGAGAACUAAAUAUUGCAAACAGAGAUUUGGAGGAUAAGUAGGCUGGUGAUUAUAAAGGAAGACAAAGGAACCUAACAAAUACUUUUCAAAGACAUAUGUUAAUCUCUUUAUCAUGGUAGAGAGUCACACACUUUUAUCAACAAGGAAUAUAAACAUAAAUUAGGUUUGUAGAUAUUUUAGAAGAAAUUUAGGUGACUUUGAUAAACAUCUUGGCUUUAAUAGGUCACAUAAUCUAGGUACAGAGGAUAUCAGAUUGACAAGUUUUGCUGCUCAUUCUCCCAGUAAAUGUGUGUUGUGUUAUUUGAGGUAAAUUGCCUGGUGUCCUUAAAUUUUUGUUUCCAUGCUUCUAAAAUAGAAAUACUGACAUCUACUGUUUAUUUUUACUACUUAGCAAAUGAUAUAAAAUAUUAGGAGAGCUACUCAGUCGUCUCAGAGGUUAACCACAUAUGUUCCCUGCAUCCAAGUAGAGCAGUUUAAAAAUUUCUGGAGCCAUGGCACUACAUCAACAUUCAUGUAUACAAACCUCCACAAAUACAUACACAUGCAUGUAAGUUAAAUUAUUUUAAAUAACUUUAUUUUAAUCUGGGUACUCAAUGUAAUAAUUUGAUAUUUUUACUUUAUCACAUAAUAUAUAAUAAUAGUUACUGAUACUUUGUGUCAAAUGUUUUAUUAGUGAUUACCUACAUGAUCAUAGCUACAAUUUAUAUACUGAAAGCAUUUGUACUCAUUUUGAAUGUUCAGAAUAAUGGUCUGUUUAAACUGAGCUUAGGAAUGGAAAAAUAGUUUCUGUAAUUUCUUUCAGAAUUUCAAAUUCUAUGGUUGUGAUAAUACCGUAGGAUCCCAAAAAUUAACUUAAUAACUGUAUGGAAAAUAAGUUUGUCAUUCAGAUUCCCCGAUUUGCCUAGACUGACUGAACAGCAAAGCAUAACGAUCCUUGUGUGUGUGGCUCUGCAGCUCUGGAAUGGGAGUUUGAAUUCAGAUCCUAGUGGGCAAGGCAAGCACUUUACUCUGCAGUUCCCAGAACUGGACUGGUUUCAGAUAUAAUAAAAUUACCUUAAUUGAUACCUUUCCCUGCUUUUUAUGAUGGAAAUUGAUAAAUUAGUCAUUCUAAAUGCACAUAUAAUUUAAAAAAGUAUUUUUUUAAUGACUGAGUUCUGUUUAGUGUAUGAUUUCUUAUUAGAAGAAAUGAAGUGAGGGGCUUUGUUAUUGUCGUUGUUGUCAUUGUUGUUCUUGCUGGGCUGCAUAUCAGAGUGGACUGCAUGAUUACAUUGCUGUAGGUUGACAGCUCAUGCUUUUCCUCACCUUGGUAUUUCUCAUUUAAUGUGCCCUAACCGUCUGACAAAAUAAAAGUUGUCUACAAAAGC